Long non-coding RNA from Homo sapiens (human), 2387 nucleotides. Ensembl annotates it as long intergenic non-protein coding RNA 1224. NCBI's taxonomy places the organism in Eukaryota, Metazoa, Chordata, Mammalia, Primates, Hominidae. The record is from Ensembl.
GGCGGGGCUUUUGUCUCUCGCUGCAGCCAGAGCUUGGGAUCGCUUUCUGCUAUUCAACGUCCUCCACCUCUGCCCCCCUCUCGCCCCAGCCGGUGACAGGCUGUUGCCCUGUGAUCUGCAGGUCCUGGGACGUGCACAGACAGCUAAGAUGCCAGGACAUUCCAGAAGGUGGGAAAGGCACCUGAGUAAUUUGACUCUCCUGCCUGGACCCAGCGUACAGAUGGGAUUGUGCUUCAUUGCUGGACCCAGCAUUUAGGGAUCGUCACUCCCGUGGAUGAUCAAAGCUACUCCGGGGGCUGAGGCAGGAGAAUCGCUUGAACUCGGGAAGCAGAAGUUGCAGUGAGCCAAGGUCGCACCACUGCACUCCAGCCCAGGCGACAUUGUGAGACUCCAUCUCAAAAAAAAAAAAAAGAAAAAAAGUGUACUAACAAGACCCAGCACACAGAGGAGACUUUUACCAUUGUAUGAACACCCAUCAAACAGUACACAUCAUCAUUGUGAGUUCUGAAUCUCACACAUAGAGGAAGUCAAAGGUGGAAAACUUGACUCUCAUAUUUGGAUCCAGUCCACAGGUGUGAUUUUGACGCACACUUCUGCCCAGCACCUGAGUAAUGUGAUUCUUCAGAAUUGGCCCGGCCCACAAAUAGGAUUGUGCCACACUGCUGGACCCAGUGCCUAAGUGAUGUAACUCUAUUCUUCUGCCUUGGUGCUACUCGAAAAAGACAUUGUAACAUAUCUCAGAGCCUUACACCCAGGUAAUGUGAGUCUCCUCUUCUGCCUUGCUGCUGCACACAGAAGCGGAAUAUGUACAGGAUUGUUAAUCUCAUCUUGGAUCUUCCUGCACUUGUGAUUGUGACACAUGCCUCUGUGUAGAACCUGAGUGAGUUUACUCUCCUGCCUGGAUUUAACCCAUAGAUGGAAUCGUGACAUAUCACUGUACCAGAAACUAGGUGAUGUGACUCUAUUUUCUUGCCUCUGUGUUUUUAUAUGGGGCAUCGUGACAUAUCACUGGGCCUUGCACCCAAGUGAUGGGAGUUUUCUCUCCUGCUUUGGUGCCGUCCACAAUGAAAAUUGUGAAAUAUUGCUGCCCUCCCCACUAGGUUAUGUUACUCUCCUGCCUCUGCUUUGCCCACAUGGGUCACUGUGACAUAUUGCUGGGUCUAAAACCCAGGUAAUGUCACUCUCUUGUUUGGGUUCUGCCUGCAGGAGUCAUUGUCACAUAUCUCUAUGCUCAUCACCCAGGUAAUAUGAUUCCCUUUUACUGCUUAGUUCCUUCUCACAAAACAACUUGUGACAUAUUGCUAGGCCCAAUACACCUAGCUGGUGUAACUCUUCUUUUCUUUUCUUUCCUUUUUUUUUUUUUUUUUUUGAGAUGGAGUCUCACUCUGUUGCCCAGGCUGGAGUGCAGCGGCAUGAUUUCAGCUCACUACAGCCUCUGCCUCCUAGGUUGAAGCGAUUGUCCUGACUUGGCCUCCCAAGUAGCUGGGAUUAAAGGCAUGUGCCACCACGCCCGGCUAAUUUUUGUAUUUAUAGUAGAGACAGGGUUUCGCCAUGUUGGCUAGGCUGGUUUCGAACUUCUAACCUCAGGUGAUCCUCCUGCCUCGGCCUCCCAAAGUACUGGAAUUACAGGCAUGAGCCACUGCACCUGGCCUGAUUCUUCUCUUCUUUCUAGGUUUCAACUGCAGCAGAGAUUGUAACAAACCACUGGGCCCAGCCGCAUAAUGAUGUUACUCUUUUGCCUUGGGCCUGCCCUCAGAAGGCACUGUCACAUAUUCAUGGGCCCAACGCCAAGGUGAUAUGUGUCUCCAGCCUGGACCCUGCCCACAGGGGGCAUUGUGACAUAUCUCUUGGCCCAUCAGAUGUUUGAUUGUUAUCCCCUCCCCUCUUCUACCCUGUGUUUGCCUAUAAAAGACACAGUCAUAUGUUCCUGGGCCCAGCACCUAGGUGUUGUCUUACUGGAAUGUGUCCACAUGGGGAUUGUGAUAUGUCACGUGGCCCAGUACUUAACUUGAUGUGACUCUCCUCUCAUGCCUAGGCCUUGUAGAGAAUCCCCUUCCCCUUUUGUUUUCCUUUUUUUCUUUGCAGAUCCAGGAGAUAAUCAACUAAGAGCCAGGCACCCGUUUAGGUCUAAUAAACAUUUUACAAACUGCUCUCUCUUUUAAUUCACCUAUCUGAGAGAUUCCUCUGUACAAUAAAACUUGGUCUCCACAAUCCUUUACCUUAACCUAAACCUUCCCUUUCAUUGAUCCCAGGUCUUCAGAUUCCACCACUUGUCAACCACAAAAUAUUUAAAUUUACCUGGAAGCCGCCCGCUUUGAGUUGUCCCGCCUUUCUGAACCAAACCAAUAUAUUCCUGCAAAACCGGCCAUGAUUAAAACAUCAAAAAA